UUCCCCCAGUAGCGGCGAGCGAACGGGGAGGAGCCCAGAGCCUGAAUCAGUGUGUGUGUUAGUGGAAGCGUCUGGAAAGGCGUGCGAUACAGGGUGACAGCCCCGUACACAAAAAUGCACAUAUUGUGAGCUCGAUGAGUAGGGCGGGACACGUGGUAUCCUGUCUGAAUAUGGGGGGACCAUCCUCCAAGGCUAAAUACUCCUGACUGACCGAUAGUGAACCAGUACCGUGAGGGAAAGGCGAAAAGAACCCCGGCGAGGGGAGUGAAAAAGAACCUGAAACCGUGUACGUACAAGCAGUGGGAGCCUCUUAAUGGGGUGACUGCGUACCUUUUGUAUAAUGGGUCAGCGACUUAUAUUCUGUAGCAAGGUUAACCGAAUAGGGGAGCCGAAGGGAAACCGAGUCUUAACUGGGCGUUAAGUUGCAGGGUAUAGACCCGAAACCCGGUGAUCUAGCCAUGGGCAGGUUGAAGGUUGGGUAACACUAACUGGAGGACCGAACCGACUAAUGUUGAAAAAUUAGCGGAUGACUUGUGGCUGGGGGUGAAAGGCCAAUCAAACCGGGAGAUAGCUGGUUCUCCCCGAAAGCUAUUUAGGUAGCGCCUCGUGAAUUCAUCUCCGGGGGUAGAGCACUGUUUCGGCAAGGGGGUCAUCCCGACUUACCAACCCGAUGCAAACUGCGAAUACCGGAGAAUGUUAUCACGGGAGACACACGGCGGGUGCUAACGUCCGUCGUGAAGAGGGAAACAACCCAGACCGCCAGCUAAGGUCCCAAAGUCAUGGUUAAGUGGGAAACGAUGUGGGAAGGCCCAGACAGCCAGGAUGUUGGCUUAGAAGCAGCCAUCAUUUAAAGAAAGCGUAAUAGCUCACUGGUCGAGUCGGCCUGCGCGGAAGAUGUAACGGGGCUAAACCAUG
Molecule: ribosomal RNA, 915 nt
Filed under: Escherichia coli
Lineage: Bacteria; Pseudomonadati; Pseudomonadota; Gammaproteobacteria; Enterobacterales; Enterobacteriaceae
Description: partial 23S ribosomal RNA
Rfam family: Bacterial large subunit ribosomal RNA
Source: RNAcentral